RNAcentral lists this transfer RNA (58 nucleotides) under Philine kinglipini. RNAcentral's name for it is "tRNA-Gly". Lineage: Eukaryota; Metazoa; Mollusca; Gastropoda; Cephalaspidea; Philinidae. The record is from RNAcentral.
UUCCUAGUAGUAUAAAGAGUACAUUUACCUUCCAAGUAAAAAGUCUAUCAAGUUAGGA